GAUCUUCUCUCUAGGGCUGGAUGCAGCCCUAACAAAGGGACACGGGUUUUAUAUUUGAUUUUAUAUUCUUGGGGUUGUAUGAACUUAUUGUUUUCAAUGGAUAUUUUCUUUUGAAUCAUAUUUAAUUUCUGUGAUUUUAAGUAUGAUGUUCGUACAACUGUUCUUCAUGAUCACUAGGUAAAUAUAAGAUAGUCCAUGCUUAGGAAAGAUGCGAUGUGCUACCACCUUAGAUUAGGGUAGACAUUUCAUGCCAACUGAAGAUGGAUUAUGCCCAAAUUACUUUUGUGAAAUUUUAUUCGAAUGCUUAUUAGGCUUGUAGCCAAUUUGCAUGUUUAUCCAAGAAUAAAUUAAAAAUAUAAUUAAUCCUUGUUCCGAUGUUAGUAGUGGAUUCCUUGCCCUAGGUUCCUCCAAACUGAUCGUUUUAAUUGCAUUUCUUAUUAAAUUGCUUAGUUUAAUAGUUUUCACAAAUUCUCUUUUUCAAAUAUUUUUAUUUUUAAAGAAAAACAACUGUACCCCAAUCCCUGUGGAUCGAUACCCGUAAUCACUAUCCUACCAGAUACGUGCUAUUGCGUGGUCUUUAAA
This 582-nucleotide long non-coding RNA is filed under the name Phoenix dactylifera (date palm). RNAcentral's name for it is "long non-coding RNA (PDAC_LNC015856)". Lineage: Eukaryota; Viridiplantae; Streptophyta; Magnoliopsida; Arecales; Arecaceae. The record is from RNAcentral.